AUACUCACUUGGCAGGGGAGACACCUUGAUCAUGAAGGAGGUUUUCCCAGGGUGAGGCUCAUCCACUGCACUGCGGGUGUGCUGACCCCUGUGAUUUUCCCAAAUGUGUGUGUGUGGGGGGGACUGCUAUGGGAAAAAAGGAAAUGUUCUGUCCCACU
This is a small nuclear RNA of Podarcis muralis (Common wall lizard), 158 nucleotides long. Its record names the gene U1. It matches the Rfam family "U1 spliceosomal RNA". From Rfam's summary of the family: U1 is a small nuclear RNA (snRNA) component of the spliceosome (involved in pre-mRNA splicing). Its 5' end forms complementary base pairs with the 5' splice junction, thus defining the 5' donor site of an intron. NCBI's taxonomy places the organism in Eukaryota, Metazoa, Chordata, Lepidosauria, Squamata, Lacertidae. The record is from Ensembl.